CCUACGGGGGGCAGCAGUGGGGAAUAUUGGACAAUGGGGGCAACCCUGAUCCAGCCAUGCCGCGUGUGUGAAGAAGGCCCUCGGGUUGUAAAGCACUUUCAGUGAGGAAGAACGCCUGGUGGUUAAUACCCAUCAGGAAAGACAUCACUCACAGAAGAAGCACCGGCUAACUCCGUGCCAGCAGCCGCGGUAAUACGGAGGGUGCGAGCGUUAAUCGGAAUUACUGGGCGUAAAGCGCGCGUAGGUGGCUUGAUAAGCCGGUUGUGAAAGCCCCGGGCUCAACCUGGGAACGGCAUCCGGAACUGUCAAGCUAGAGUGCAGGAGAGGAAGGUAGAAUUCCCGGUGUAGCGGUGAAAUGCGUAGAGAUCGGGAGGAAUACCGGUGGCGAAGGCGGCCUUCUGGACUGACACUGACACUGAGGUGCGAAAGCGUGGGUAGCAAACAGGAUUAGAUACCCCGGUAGUC
This 465-nucleotide ribosomal RNA is filed under the name Vreelandella stevensii. Its description in RNAcentral is "partial 16S ribosomal RNA". It matches the Rfam family "Bacterial small subunit ribosomal RNA", at positions 338 to 795 of the family's 1533-position model. The record is from RNAcentral. Lineage: Bacteria; Pseudomonadati; Pseudomonadota; Gammaproteobacteria; Oceanospirillales; Halomonadaceae.